UACGGGGGGGCUAGCGGUUGUUCGGAAUUACUGGGCGUAAAGGGCGCGUAGGCGGUCUGCUAAGUUGGAUGUGAAACUCUGGGCUUAACCCAGAGCCUGCAUUCAAUACUGACAGGCUAGAGUUCUGGAGGGGAUAGCGGAAUUCCUGGUGUAGCGGUGAAAUGCGUAGAUAUCAGGAGGAACACCGGUGGCGAAGGCGGCUAUCUGGACAGAGUCUGACGCUGAGGCGCGAAAGCUAGGGGAGCAAACAGG
Molecule: ribosomal RNA, 252 nt
Filed under: uncultured bacterium
Lineage: Bacteria
Description: partial 16S ribosomal RNA
Rfam family: Bacterial small subunit ribosomal RNA
Source: RNAcentral